GAUGAACGCUGGCGGCGUGCUUAACACAUGCAAGUCGAACGAUGAAGCCCAGCUUGCUGGGUGGAUUAGUGGCGAACGGGUGAGUAACACGUGAGUAACCUGCCCUUAACUCUGGGAUAAGCCUGGGAAACUGGGUCUAAUACCGGACAGGAGCGUCCACCGCAUGGUGGGUGUUGGAAAGAUUUAUCGGUUUUGGAUGGACUCGCGGCCUAUCAGCUUGUUGGUGAGGUAAUGGCUCACCAAGGCGACGACGGGUAGCCGGCCUGAGAGGGUGACCGGCCACACUGGGACUGAGACACGGCCCAGACUCCUACGGGAGGCAGCAGUGGGGAAUAUUGCACAAUGGGCGCAAGCCUGAUGCAGCGACGCCGCGUGAGGGAUGACGGCCUUCGGGUUGUAAACCUCUUUCAGUAGGGAAGAAGCGAAAGUGACGGUACCUGCAGAAGAAGCACCGGCUAACUACGUG
This 466-nucleotide ribosomal RNA is filed under the name uncultured bacterium. RNAcentral's name for it is "partial 16S ribosomal RNA". It matches the Rfam family "Bacterial small subunit ribosomal RNA", at positions 28 to 507 of the family's 1533-position model. The record is from RNAcentral.